GCUGGGCAUGGUGGCGCGUGCCUGUAAUCCCAGCUACUCAGGAGGCUGAGGCGGGAGAAUUGCUUGAACCCAGGAGGCGGAGGUUGCAGUGAGCCAAAAUUGCGCCAUUGCACUCCAGCCUGGGUAACGAGAGCAAAACUCCGUCUCAA
This is an unclassified non-coding RNA of Callithrix jacchus (white-tufted-ear marmoset), 149 nucleotides long. It matches the Rfam family "Metazoan signal recognition particle RNA". From Rfam's summary of the family: The signal recognition particle (SRP) is a universally conserved ribonucleoprotein. The record is from Ensembl. Lineage: Eukaryota; Metazoa; Chordata; Mammalia; Primates; Cebidae.